This 439-nucleotide ribosomal RNA is filed under the name uncultured bacterium. Its description in RNAcentral is "partial 16S ribosomal RNA". It matches the Rfam family "Bacterial small subunit ribosomal RNA", at positions 339 to 795 of the family's 1533-position model. The record is from RNAcentral.
CUACGGGCCGCUGCAGUGGGGAAUAUUGGACAAUGGGCGCAAGCCUGAUCCAGCCAUGCCGCGUGAGUGAUGAAGGCCCUAGGGUUGUAAAGCUCUUUCACCGGUGAAGAUAAUGACGGUAACCGGAGAAGAAGCCCCGGCUAACUUCGUGCCAGCAGCCGCGGUAAUACGAAGGGGGCUAGCAUUGUUCGGAUUUACUGGGCGUAAAGCGCACGUAGGCGGACUAUUAAGUCAGGGGUGAAAUCCCGGGGCUCAACCCCGGAACUGCCUUUGAUACUGGUAGUCUUGAGUUCGAGAGAGGUGAGUGGAAUUCCGAGUGUAGAGGUGAAAUUCGUAGAUAUUCGGAGGAGCACCAGUGGCGAAGGCGGCUCACUGGCUCGAUACUGACGCUGAGGUGCGAAAGCGUGGGGAGCAAACAGGAUUAGAUACCCUAGUAGUC